This 440-nucleotide ribosomal RNA is filed under the name Stenotrophomonas maltophilia. RNAcentral's name for it is "bacterial SSU rRNA". It matches the Rfam family "Bacterial small subunit ribosomal RNA", at positions 1 to 437 of the family's 1533-position model. Lineage: Bacteria; Pseudomonadati; Pseudomonadota; Gammaproteobacteria; Lysobacterales; Lysobacteraceae. The record is from RNAcentral.
UAAGUGAAGAGUUUGAUCCUGGCUCAGAGUGAACGCUGGCGGUAGGCCUAACACAUGCAAGUCGAACGGCAGCACAGAGGAGCUUGCUCCUUGGGUGGCGAGUGGCGGACGGGUGAGGAAUACAUCGGAAUCUACUCUGUCGUGGGGGAUAACGUAGGGAAACUUACGCUAAUACCGCAUACGACCUACGGGUGAAAGCAGGGGACCUUCGGGCCUUGCGCGAUUGAAUGAGCCGAUGUCGGAUUAGCUAGUUGGCGGGGUAAAGGCCCACCAAGGCGACGAUCCGUAGCUGGUCUGAGAGGAUGAUCAGCCACACUGGAACUGAGACACGGUCCAGACUCCUACGGGAGGCAGCAGUGGGGAAUAUUGGACAAUGGGCGCAAGCCUGAUCCAGCCAUACCGCGUGGGUGAAGAAGGCCUUCGGGUUGUAAAGCCCUUUU